Molecule: long non-coding RNA, 1664 nt
Organism: Salvia splendens (bonfire salvia)
Lineage: Eukaryota; Viridiplantae; Streptophyta; Magnoliopsida; Lamiales; Lamiaceae
Exons: 2
Source: RefSeq, a predicted model, not a curated record
UAUAAACUUGAUUUUCUCCACUUUCUUCCUCCUUCACUUGUUCCUCACAUUUUUCCCCUAAUUCAAAUCAAUUUCCAAUCGAAGAAGGGGCGGAACCCUAGCUCCAUCGCCACUGUUCCGGAUCCCGCCUCUCCUCCCUCUCUCGAAUUCCCCCUCUCUCGCCUCUCUCUAUCUUCUCCUUGCAUUCCCAAUUUGGAGAAAUCAAAAUACGAAGCCAAUCCUCCAUCUGAGAUGAGGGUCUAGACCGGGGGAAGGAAACAGCGUCGCCGUCACCUCAUCUCCGGUGCUCGCACAGGAGCUGCCGGAAUCAGCAGUGCUCGCCGUCGCCUCGCGAGGCUUCAGCCGUCACCGCCGAUUUGCGCUGCUGGUUCGAGACGGCACGGCGUCGCCGCCACCGUCACCAUUCGCCAUUGCCGUUGUGGUUAAUAAACCGCUGCUAUCACAGCAGCCCCGAAACACUCCGGGAGAUAAGUCCUCUUCUCCCUGUUACGUCUUUUUUUCGUUUUUUCAAAUUAGUUACAGGGGGGUUCGGUUCAUGAUGGUCCAAAUGAUGGUGUUCGAUUUGUGUUUAUUGUUGAAAUAUGCUUGCUAUGCCAUAGGAGCUCUAAGUCCUAUCUUAAGGUGCUAUGUUGUAUAUCUGCCAAGCUGCUGUCUUCUUCGUGGAAAAACAGUGGCUCGCUGCUUCUGAUUCUAGUGUUUCUACCUGGGUGACUUGUGAUCGAUGGUGUAUUGUAGUUUAAGAUUACUACUCGUAUUAAGCAUGCUGCCUCUCAUCUGUGAGCAUUUAUUUGUGAGGGUUAACGGUGUUCUCUUAGCCUAACAUAUUGUGAUUUCCUAACAUGAAGUGUCACUACAUGUUAACAUGAUUCAUGAUGGAGUUGGAGACAAGGAAGAAGGUGGUUUACCUUCCUGCGUUGCUCUGUGAAGUUUUGGCUCCCAGGCUUCGGCCUCCCUCUCACUCUCAAUCUUACUAUAAUGCCGGUUAGAACGUGUGUUAAGGCAGUGAGGUUGAAGGGGGGCCACCAUAUAUAUAUAGGCUGGAGUAUCUGGAAAUCUGCAGAGCAGAUUUGGGUGCAGGGUGUAUCUGCUGCACCAGCUGUUUGUUUGAGGGUAAUACUGUGGUGUACUCGUGAAAUCAGAGCAGUUGCUCCCUCAACUGUAACCCCACUGCCGGAGUCCCUCCCUUCCCUUUUUCUUUUGCAGCACCUUUAACCGAAUUGCAUGUGUACAACCAUGAUUGAUUUCCCUGGCAAUGGCAGGUGUAAAACGAGGGUACAAGCUGGUUAGUCUCAGUCUUUCUGAGCCCUUGCAGCCGGCCUAGCUUGCUUCUUUUAGCCCAAGCACUUUCUCAUUUCUGGAAAGGGACAAGAGGCUGACCUCGUCUAGGUGGCCACCUCGUCGGUUCGGCCCAACGGGCCGUCGGAAUCUGGGCCGAAAUCAUGCUAGGAAAAGGGUCGAAGCUAGUAGUUCCAUGACAGCGUUUCUACUUGAUGUCCCCCUUUUUAUAUCAUUUCAACUUGUAUGAAAACAACUAUACUAGUUAGUUAGCGUAUUUCAUUUCCUUUAUCUUCAUUGUCAAUAUUUGUAAACUUAGACUUAGCUUGGAAUAAUAAAAUGUUGUGUUACUCAAGAAAUAAAUAAAAAUUCUUUCAUUAUUUAUCAAA